UAUGACCAUAUCAUGUUGAAACACCAGUUCUCAUAGAAUCACUGAAGUUAAGCAAUGGCAAGCCUGGUCAGUACCUAGAUGGAUGACCAUUUGGGAACAUCAGGUACUGUAA
Non-coding RNA from Acanthosepion pharaonis, 112 nucleotides. The record is from the annotation of a GenBank genome assembly. Lineage: Eukaryota; Metazoa; Mollusca; Cephalopoda; Sepiida; Sepiidae.